GACGAACGCUGGCGGCGUGCUUAACACAUGCAAGUCGAACGGAAAGGCCUCUUUCGGGGGGUACUCGAGUGGUGAACGGGUGAGUAACACGUGAGUAACCUGCCCUUGACUUUGGGAUAACUUCAGGAAACUGGGGCUAAUACCGGAUAGGAGCUCCUGCUGCAUGGUGGGGGUUGGAAAGUUUCGGCGGUUGGGGAUGGACUCGCGGCUUAUCAGCUUGUUGGUGGGGUAGUGGCUUACCAAGGCUUUGACGGGUAGCCGGCCUGAGAGGGUGACCGGCCACAUUGGGACUGAGAUACGGCCCAGACUCCUACGGGAGGCAGCAGUGGGGAAUAUUGCACAAUGGGUGGAAGCCUGAUGCAGCAACGCCGUGUGCGGGAUGACGGCCUUCGGGUUGUAAACCGCUUUCGCUCAUGACGAAGCUUUGUGUGACGGUAGUGGGUAAAGAAGCACCGGCUAACUACGUG
This 467-nucleotide ribosomal RNA is filed under the name uncultured bacterium. RNAcentral's name for it is "partial 16S ribosomal RNA". It matches the Rfam family "Bacterial small subunit ribosomal RNA", at positions 28 to 507 of the family's 1533-position model. The record is from RNAcentral.